RNA transcript from Daktulosphaira vitifoliae (grape phylloxera), 1563 nucleotides. It is a transcript of the gene named protein Mo25, with no coding region annotated. The record is from RefSeq and is a predicted model, not a curated record. The transcript has 9 exons. NCBI's taxonomy places the organism in Eukaryota, Metazoa, Arthropoda, Insecta, Hemiptera, Phylloxeridae.
CUUAAUUUUUUUAUACCUUGUACAAUUAAAUCAAAUGUGACGAAUCACCAAAAUAUGCGAAAAACAUUACAAUAAUGAUCGUAGACAUUAACAGAUUAUCGUUAUCAGCAGAGAUAAUUUUAGGGGUUUUGUUCACAUCAUCAUGAAACGUGCAAUUUUAUAGUUCACAUCUGAUCAUUUAAAAGUAAUAAUUCAUAAAGAAUUCAACCAAAGAAACAAAUUCACAGUUAUUUUUUUUAUUGUCGUCAUAUGUUUAUUUGAAAUAUGCCUCUUUUUGGGAAAUCUCAAAAAAAUCCAGUUGAAGUGGUGAAGCAACUUAAAGAAGCCAUUGUUGCAUUAGAAAAAGGCGAUAAAAAACUAGAGAAAGCACAAGAAGAUGUGAGCAAAAAUCUUUUGAUCAUCAAAAAUUUGUUGUAUGGUACCGCAGAUACUGAGCCCCUAUCUGACAUAGUUGUAGCACAAUUGGCACAAGAAAUGUAUAAUAACAAUUUGUUGCUCAUGAUGAUACAAAAUUUAACAAAAAUAGAUUUUGAAGGUAAAAAAGAUGUUGCUCAAGUUUUUAAUAAUGUUCUUCGACGGCAAUUAGGCAGCAGAUCUCCUACUGUUGAACAUAUUUGUGCAAAAUCUGAAAUUUUAUUCACUCUCAUAGCUGGAUAUGAACAUCAGGAAAUUGCAUUAAAUUGUGGUACUAUGUUGCGUGAAUGUGCUAGAUAUGAAGCAUUAGCAAAAAUAAUGCUGUACGCUAAAGAAUUUUUUAACUUCUUUCGUUAUGUAGAGGUAUCUACUUUUGAUAUAGCUUCAGAUGCAUUCUCUACUUUUAAAGAGUUAUUAACUAGACAUAAACCACUGUGUGCCGAAUUUCUUGAAAUGAAUUAUGAUAAGGUUUUUACUCAUUAUCAACAACUAUUAAACUCUGAAAAUUAUGUUACUCGGAGGCAAAGUCUUAAGUUACUUGGAGAAUUACUCCUAGAUCGUCAUAACUUCACUGUAAUGACUCGAUACAUAUCAAAUCCUGAUAAUUUAAAACUAAUGAUGAAUAUGUUAAAAGAAAAGUCUAGAAAUAUUCAAUUUGAAGCUUUCCAUGUUUUUAAGGUAUUUGUUGCAAAUCCAAACAAACCUAAACCUAUUCUUGAUAUCUUACUGCGUAAUCAAGAUAAACUUGUUGAGUUCUUGACCCGAUUUCAUACAGAAAGAUCUGAAGAUGAGCAAUUCAAUGACGAAAAAGCUUAUCUAAUUAAACAAAUAAAAGAGCUGAAGGUAGCACCAUCCGAUCAAUGAUUUAUUGUUUUUCACUACAUUACAGCUUUAUAUUUUGUAAUCGUUAAGUCACAUGUUAAGAAAGCUUAACAUUACUUAGGGGUAUGGAUUAAAAUUAACGAAUUAUUUGGCGUUGCUAUUAUUUGACAUAUUUAAUGAAGUAAACAAUGAAAUAAUUCUACUAAAUUAUUAAAAAAUGUUAUAUUGUAGAAUACUUGGUAGAAAAUCUAAAUAAAUUAUUUAUUAACUGUUUUAUACUAAAAAAAUGUAUAUACAAAAUUAUAUUAUAUACAAAACUUUGAACAU